Molecule: small RNA, 22 nt
Filed under: Arabidopsis thaliana (thale cress)
Lineage: Eukaryota; Viridiplantae; Streptophyta; Magnoliopsida; Brassicales; Brassicaceae
Description: ATSL297050
Source: RNAcentral
CCUUUUUGUUGUUGUUGUUCUU